AAAAUGCAGUCGAGCGGUAGAGAGAAGCUUGCUUCUCUUGAGAGCGGCGGACGGGUGAGUAAUGCCUAGGAAUCUGCCUGGUAGUGGGGGAUAACGUUCGGAAACGGACGCUAAUACCGCAUACGUCCUACGGGAGAAAGCAGGGGACCUUCGGGCCUUGCGCUAUCAGAUGAGCCUAGGUCGGAUUAGCUAGUUGGUGAGGUAAUGGCUCACCAAGGCGACGAUCCGUAACUGGUCUGAGAGGAUGAUCAGUCACACUGGAACUGAGACACGGUCCAGACUCCUACGGGAGGCAGCAGUGGGGAAUAUUGGACAAUGGGCGAAAGCCUGAUCCAGCCAUGCCGCGUGUGUGAAGAAGGUCUUCGGAUUGUAAAGCACUUUAAGUUGGGAGGAAGGGUUGUAGAUUAAUACUCUGCAAUUUUGACGUUACCGACAGAAUAAGCACCGGCUAACUCUGUGCCAGCAGCCGCGGUAAUACAGAGGGUGCAAGCGUUAAUCGGAAUUACUGGGCGUAAAGCGCGCGUAGGUGGUUUGUUAAGUUGGAUGUGAAAUCCCCGGGCUCAACCUGGGAACUGCAUUCAAAACUGACUGACUAGAGUAUGGUAGAGGGUGGUGGAAUUUCCUGUGUAGCGGUGAAAUGCGUAGAUAUAGGAAGGAACACCAGUGGCGAAGGCGACCACCUGGACUAAUACUGACACUGAGGU
This 704-nucleotide ribosomal RNA is filed under the name Pseudomonas sp. Y4_1061_1. RNAcentral describes it as "bacterial SSU rRNA". It matches the Rfam family "Bacterial small subunit ribosomal RNA", at positions 52 to 752 of the family's 1533-position model. The record is from RNAcentral. Lineage: Bacteria; Pseudomonadati; Pseudomonadota; Gammaproteobacteria; Pseudomonadales; Pseudomonadaceae.